Molecule: small nucleolar RNA, 106 nt
Filed under: Cephalotus follicularis
Lineage: Eukaryota; Viridiplantae; Streptophyta; Magnoliopsida; Oxalidales; Cephalotaceae
Description: Plant small nucleolar RNA R71
Rfam family: Plant small nucleolar RNA R71
About the family: R71 is a member of the C/D box family of snoRNAs containing the C (UGAUGA) and D (CUGA) box motifs. Multiple nearly identical copies of this snoRNA have been identified in Arabidopsis, and it is thought to function as a 2'-O-ribose methylation guide for 18S ribosomal RNA.
Source: Rfam by way of RNAcentral
ACGGCAUGAUGGGGACAUUUUCUAUUGAGAUCCAUUAAUCGUUCCCAUGAUUAAUGGAACUGCUCACCAUCUUGUUGUGAGAAGCUAGUGAGAGCUCGUCUUAUCU